This 440-nucleotide ribosomal RNA is filed under the name uncultured bacterium. RNAcentral's name for it is "bacterial SSU rRNA". It matches the Rfam family "Bacterial small subunit ribosomal RNA", at positions 339 to 796 of the family's 1533-position model. The record is from RNAcentral.
CUACGGGAGGCAGCAGCAAGGAAUAUUGGGCAAUGGGGGCAACCCUGACCCAGCGACGCCGCGUGAGGGAUGAAGGCCUUCGGGUUGUAAACCUCUUUUCUCACUGACGAAGAUGACGGUAGGUGAGGAAGAAGCCCCGGCUAACUACGUGCCAGCAGCCGCGGUAAUACGUAGGGGGCGAGCGUUGUCCGGAAUUACUGGGCGUAAAGCGCGCGUAGGUGGCUGUCUAAGACCGGUGUGAAAUCUCCGCGCUUACCGUGGAGGGGUCGCUGGUGACUGGACGGCUUGGGUUCGGCAGAGGUGAGUGGAAUUCCCGGUGGAGCGGUGAAAUGCGUAGAGAUCGGGAGGAACACCAGUGGCGAAGGCGGCUCACUGGGCCGGGACCGACGCUGAGGCGCGAAGGCGUGGGGAGCGAACGGGAUUAGAAACCCUAGUAGUCC